GAGGUUCUAGCUUAAUUAAAGCAUCUGGGUUGCAUUCAGAAGAUGUAGGUUAAUGUCCUACGGAUCUUA
This 69-nucleotide transfer RNA is filed under the name Gelochelidon nilotica. Its description in RNAcentral is "tRNA-Ala". It matches the Rfam family "tRNA". Rfam says of the family: Transfer RNA (tRNA) molecules are approximately 80 nucleotides in length. Their secondary structure includes four short double-helical elements and three loops (D, anti-codon, and T loops). The record is from RNAcentral. Lineage: Eukaryota; Metazoa; Chordata; Aves; Charadriiformes; Laridae.